Onychomys torridus (southern grasshopper mouse) is the source of this 1262-nucleotide long non-coding RNA. RefSeq lists it as uncharacterized. The transcript is spliced from 3 exons. The record is from RefSeq and is a predicted model, not a curated record. Lineage: Eukaryota; Metazoa; Chordata; Mammalia; Rodentia; Cricetidae.
AGCUGAUUACAGGGACAGAAAUAUUCUCGAUACAGCACGAUUAAAUAAUGAGCUUGUAUGAUUACUUCUGCAUUAAUACUAACAAUACUUAUGCUACGAUUUGUGUGGUAGUUUUCGGGCUGUCCAGCUCCCUCACGGUCCCAUCCUAUCAACAUGGCGAGCAAGCCCGCCCUGACUAGAUUAGAAGUCUACAGGGCUCUCCCUGCAGUGAGGUGCAGAGACAUAUCACAGCUGUCACACUGCCCCAAUGAUCCCGACAAAGGGUGGGUUUCAGAGAAGAAUUCAGAGUAACACAGUAAAGGAUCGAUAUCGGGAGAACUCCAGUGGAAGCGUUAAAUUAUUCCAGGACUCAUGGGGACUCGGUGAAAGCUGAAAUGUCAGGGUGACAGCAGAGGACACCACAGAACGAUGAUGUAAGAGGGAGAGGGAAGAGCCAACGAAUAAUGUCGGCAGUGUUGUGCAGAUGCUGGGCCUGUUUCUGAAGGCAUCGAGGUGACUAUGCAGAUUUUAACUAUCUCUGUGCUAAUGAGGCUGAAUCUCUAGUUUGGCUCCUCUGGAGAGACUACAAGGGUUGAAACAUUUCAAAGCAAAAAGCUGAAGGAAUCAAGAUGGUGGGAAGAUAAGCCUCAGCCUGGGAGAAGAUACAGGCAGAAGCCACAUCUAACCCAAAACUUUUUAUCAAAAACAAAGAAUGAACUAUCGCAACUCGAUAUGAAGAAAGCCAAUCACUCUGCAGGUAUGGUGGCACAUACCUGUACAUCUCAGACCUUGGGAUCAGAGGCAAGGGGAUCAGGAGCCCAAGGCCACUCUGAAAGCCUAGACUUCGUGAGACCAUGUCUCAAAAUAAACCACUUGGCUAAAAAGUGGGUCAAAAAUUUUAUAGACACCUCACCAAAGAAGUUAUGAAACUGGCAAUUAAGUGUAGGAAGAGACAUUCCAUAUUGUAUGUCAGUGGAGAAAUGCAGAAGAAAUGAUGUCCUACUACUGUUAUGGUCUCAGUAUGAAAUGUUUCCACACACUAUGUUCUGGAGACUCCAUCCAGCUGGGGGUGCUGUCUGGGGAGACUCAGAAAACUGUAGAGGGGGGCAUGGCUGGAGGAUGGAGGGCACCAGGGCUGUAUCCGUUGGGCUAUAUCUUGCCAUAAUAUUUUGCCUUGCCAUAGGCCCAGAGCAAUGAAGAAGGCUACCAUGGACUGCAACCUCUUUGAAAUCAUGAGCCAAGUCAAAUCUUUCUCCUUUUAAACGUUCUUUUUCUUCCUUCCU